GUUUCCUUCGGCAGCACAUAUACUAAAAUUGGAACUGUACAGAGAAGAUUAGCCUGGCCCUUGCACGAGGAUGACAUGCAGAUUUGUGAAGUGUUCCAUAUUUUU
Molecule: small nuclear RNA, 105 nt
Organism: Loxodonta africana (African savanna elephant)
Lineage: Eukaryota; Metazoa; Chordata; Mammalia; Proboscidea; Elephantidae
Source: Ensembl